Molecule: small nucleolar RNA, 140 nt
Organism: Osmerus eperlanus (European smelt)
Lineage: Eukaryota; Metazoa; Chordata; Actinopteri; Osmeriformes; Osmeridae
Product: small nucleolar RNA SNORA84
Exons: 1
Source: RefSeq, a predicted model, not a curated record
GCCUGGUGGUUCCUACAGACAGCCGUUUCCAUGCUGAUCUGUAGGUUAGGAUUGACAGGCGCACAUUACCCCCUCUGUGAUUCUAUGCAUGGGAGCUGCCGUUCCCCAGCAGCCUCCAUAGCCCGGUCGCAGAGACAUUU